CACAGAUACGUAUGAUUUAUUUAACUGACUUUUAUUGUUUUUCUUUUAGGAGGAAAUAAAGAAAAUUCACGUGAUUUAUUUGAUUCAACGUUGUUCAAUGAGGAACAAAUAUCUGUUUCAAGUCCUGAUUUUUCUGACACAGAUUCCAAUUAUACACCGCCUAUACAAGAUACUUCAUCUGAUGAAUCUUACUUAUACGAUGACAAGAUCUUGGAUCGAGCUUGCUCAUUUCGCAAUGUACCUCAUUCAUCUGAAGAGUUUCAUCAGACGAACUACUCAUUAUUACAACUUAAGCCCUUAUCUGACAAAAAUAUUGAGCAGCCUUUAAAUGAAGAAACCUCGGUAAUCUGUAGUGAUAGUAUUUUAAGUGACAUAAGUAAUUCACCUGGCAUAACUCUUACUGUGGAUAGUAGAUUAUUAAAACCGGUAUCCAUAUCGACACAUAAAUCUAAUUCUAUUGUUUCGGGGGACACUGCAACUGUUAGUAAUACCAACCCCCAACCCAAUACCCAAGAAGAUGAGCUU
This is a long non-coding RNA of Melitaea cinxia (Glanville fritillary), 525 nucleotides long. RefSeq lists it as uncharacterized. The transcript has 3 exons. The record is from RefSeq and is a predicted model, not a curated record. NCBI's taxonomy places the organism in Eukaryota, Metazoa, Arthropoda, Insecta, Lepidoptera, Nymphalidae.